GAAUUCUUGCAGUUACUUCUAGCCAGCUUACUUGUAUCAACACAGCAGGUCCACUAAACCAACAAGUGAGAAAAGAAAAUUAUAUUAUUAAUGCCAUUCACAAAUCAAAAGUUGUAAAUAUCGCAAGUUCAUUUAAUCGGGUAAUUUAUAUUCAUUUAAAAUCCCACAUUUCCUAAGAACAUUAGACACUUUAGCAGGCAACGAUGAAAUGAUUUGCACAUUUUCGUCUUGGGGCUCCAACAUAAAAUGUGUACCCUAAUUGGGUAAUUCUAAGUUUAACCAUCAAAAGGUUCAGAUCUAAGAUGAGGAAGAAGGGUCGGAUCUGAGAUUAAAAUGUUAUAACUUCCAAAAGUCGGAAGAUCAUACGUUCAGAUCAUUCUCUACGCUUCAUUGACACAAAUUUUGAAUUCAAAUUCAAAUUAGAGAAGAUGAAGAACAAUGGAGACGAUGAAGAAGAUGCAGAACAAUGGAGAAGAUAAAAGAACAACAAUGAAAAAUUCGGACAAAUGUUUUCCAACGACCAACGUAUGUAUGUUUGCAUGAAAUUUGACACAUGACAAUCUAACAGAAAUAUCCGAAAAGGUAUAUAGAAGGAAAUUCAUUGAAAUUACUCACCUAUCAGGUAUCUUCCAGUAGCGUUUAUCGGUACCCCCCCAAACAAUGUUCAGUCCUUGUGGUUUAAUUUUCACAGCACACCCAUCCUGUUGGCACAUAAAAUGCAUUAUUAUUUGAUAAAAACAAAUUCAUUCUCUGUGUGUGUGUGAUUGUGUAUUUAAUAACUUAAACUAGGUUUAGAAUUUAUAAUAUAUUACCUGUUCGUAUGAUAUUUUACUUGGAUCUCCCACAUAGUGAGGUUUUGCAACAAAAGUAGAAACUCUAGCUAGUGUGGAAGACAUAAUUAGCUACACUGCAAGUGAACAACAAAGUCAUAUAGAACUUGUAUAUAUAUAUAUAUGGCUUUGCAUAACAUUCUAUAUGAACAGAAUAUUAUUAGCUUAUUAUCCCCUCAAGGAAUAUGGACAAAAGGAUUAACACUAGUUGCAUUAAAGAUGUUUUAAUGAUUCCAUGUUCUUUUCUUUCUUUUGAAUCCUAUAUACGUAAUAUCCCUUUUUGGGGAUACGUAAUAUGUACCAUGUACUCUUUCUAUGUUUAAUUGCGCGAUUCCUUUGAUGCUUUUUCAAUAAAACUCUCUAGUUUGUUAUAUUCUUCUUCUUAAGCACACGAGUCUAGAUCUUCAUGCCUGUACUUCAAGUUAUGUGUGAUUAAUUCAUAGAAUCACCUAAACUUAUCUAGAAGAAAACUCUUACAUGACUUACCAGUGCGCUCAUUGCGUGUAUCACUUUUUUAAUUCUUGAUGCUGACAUAACAAUGGGAUGAUUGGGUAGGUGCCCGAAUCAUAUAAGAAACGUUGGAAACAAAAAAGAAAGAUUCCCAACAAUGUAAAGAAGAAGCAUAGAUGUUACUGAGAAACUGACAAAAGUCAUCAACUUGAAAAAUAAUCUAUCAUCAUUUUUCCAAAUUUAGUUGUUGUUGGGAAAAUCGAUAAUAAUUCAAUAAACCCAAAGUGCGAAAUAACCCAAGAUCUAGAAGAAACAAUUAUGAUAAUAAGAAAAUGAAUGAGCUUGUGGCUCAAUGGUAGCACCCCUCUUAUAAAGUGGAGAGAUCGUGGGUUCGAAACACGUCAACAGCGGAUUGUUAAUAUAAGUUUACACACGUAAUUUAAAAGGGGUAGGGGCCCCCUCAACCUCGCUUGCCAACAAAAAAAAAAAAAAAACGAAAACCAAUACACAAGAUAUACGUGUUGGAACCCUCACGGAGAAUAAACCACCACAAGUAAAACAAAAAACUUUAUUAUCUUCCACCAAAAGGAUUACAAGAUGAGAUCUCACACAACUCAACCUCACCCCUUUUACAAAAAGAACACAAACCUGAAACUCUACAAGUAGUGCUAUUACCACAAUUUCAACUAAUCAAGUAAACAAAACAAUGAACAAAAAAUAGAUGAUCAAAACACGAUAUUUUUAACGUGGUAAAACCCAAUGUGGAAAACGUCCACGGUUGUCCUCGCGACAACAAAUAAAUCCACUAGAUGAAAAGAGAUGUACAAACCUAUCAACUACCUGCAAUCACUGCGAGUUGACACUACUGGUUAUCUCUAACACCUUGACUUCACCAGAGUACUUUGAUAUACGCACAAGAGACUCGACUUCUUGAUGAACACACAAGAAGACUCGAAGCCGAUCUCAAUAUUCAAUAAGGAAGAAGAAGAUGAAUGGGAAGAAGAGAGUGAGUUCAAUUACCAAAACAAACCUAAACAAACUCAAGAAGAAGACUUGGAAUUGGACGACCAAAGAACUGCUUUGUUCUUUGAUUGAAAACCUAUUCAUACUUAGGGUUUUUCAAAGAGAGAACAUGGGCCAAAAACAUACAAAAUACACGACGACAUACGUACGCCCUAACUAGGUACGUACGUCCCUGAAACGAAAAGUACUCUGAAAUAAUCAACGUACGUACGUCCUAACUAGGUACGUACGUCCUAACACACAAGAAAAAUUCUGCCCAACUCUACGUACGUACGUCCUAACUAGUUACGUACGUACAACAACAAACAACAACCCGAGAUACUUGAAUUAGAGAAGAAGACACGGGACGACGCUCACACAUCAAGGUACUUCCUAGUAAUAACGUCAAGGCGAGAUAACCUCAGACACUCCUAAGCUAGUCACAAAAUAAUGUCAAACAACCGAUGUCGGUUUCAAAACCUAAAAAUCCCCCAACAAAGAUUGCUCCCAAGUUUCACAAGCCUUCAAACUUUAAAUCUCCAAGUUUUGAAUUUCUGAAAACUCCCUUAGACUUAUGUUUAAUGUGGCUUCUGAACUUCUUAAGGUUUCCUACACUAUCAUGACCUUAUAUAGUGUUACAAGGAAAAAUUAUGGUUUACCACGUCAUGGGCCCAUAUACAGUUUACCAUCCAGAGGCAAUAAAUCUGUCAGAACUGCUGUCCAGAGGCACUUCUCUUAUCAGAACUUCAAAUGCAGUUUCCAAGAAAACUACUGUGAACUAGAAGGUCUGCUAUAUACCAUUGGGAAGCUAAGAGAGUCCUCUUUCCAACUCAAAAGACAGAUCACAAUUCCGAGUACCUAAACGAAAGUUAUGACUUGUUUUCUACAAUGUAUCAAAACUGAAAAUAACAAAAACUGAACAACAAUUCUCCACCUCGACGAAGAAUGAAUAUGUAUAUAUGUGUAUAAAUGUAUGAAUAUAUGCAUAUAUGAAUGAAUGAAUAUGUAUAUGUAUAUAUGUGUAUAAAUGUAUGAAUAUAGGAAUAUAUGAAUGAAUGAAUGCAUGUAUUUGUAAAUAAAUGUAUAUGUAUAUAUGAAUGUAAUAUAUAUGUAGAUGUACAUAUAUGAAUGCUAUCAUGUAAUAUAGGAGCAAUAGGAAUACUAUCAUGAAAUGGAUAGAGUGAGAAUCGAACUCUUCGUCGCCCCCAAUUGUGAGGCAAUUUGAAUAACAUCGCAUAUAUAUGGUGAAAGGCGCGAAAUAGUCGUUAAUUAGAUUGCGCUUUUCAAAACCCUUCUUUGACUACCUAAAACGAGUAUAGCUUCAAGAAAGGUUAUCGAAUCCACCUGUAAGAGAGAACCAAGUUAAAUGAAGAAGAGAAUUUUAUUUUUACUAAUCUAGAAUAAGGGGAAAAUAAUAUAGCAACCUGGUAGAUGGUGAUUAAUUACUACUAAUGUAAGAAAUAAUUGUAGGAAGAUAAAUAUGAUGAGUGUUUCAAGAGAUCGAAUCCACCAAUUCAAAAAUGUAAUAAUUAAUGUAUAGAUUUAUCAAGAUUAAUCCGUAAAUAGAUACUCAUUAAUUACAUACUAAGAUGAUUCGAAAUGCAUAAUGGAAAGAUUGGACAUUAAAAACUUAUUUUAUUUACGUUAGAGUCUAUCAAUUUUAAAAAAUCAACGAUACUUCUUAUGAUUAAUUAAAAUGUGAGGAAAGACUAAAACACAAUGUGUCAAUGUACAACUAUUAUGUUAGUGGCAAGAAAUAGUACGUUCGUCUUUCAGACCGUCACUCAAUGUUUCUCCGAAUAGCUAUAGCAAAGUGUAUAUUCCACCUACUAAAAGAAUUUAAAGAACUAAGAAGAUAGUAAAUAAACAAUGUUAUAUUUUUAAUUUCACAAAUAAAUCAUUGCAAUUACUUUCCUCCAACCUUCUCUCGAAGCGCUAGAUCUUUAACCUCCAAAAUUACUCUAAUGGAUUAAAUUCUUAACAAAUCAUAUACUAACUACUACAUAAAAUGAAAAGGUUUCAUCUCUCCCUUGAAAAAGGGAGAUUAGUCUAGUAUAAUACUAAACUAAAAUCUAUUAAAUGAAAUGAUAUAAAAUAAAAACUAACUAAACUAAAAGAAGAAGAAAAGAACUUUAUUAGAAUGAUAGAAUGUAGAGUUUUUGCUUUCACUUCUUGAUGAUGAAUAUAGAGCUUCUUAUUUAUAAAUCCAUAGGGAGCCUAAAAGGGAAAAUUAUAAAAUAUUGCAUAAUAUUUCAUUUGAUUGAUAUCAAAUCAAUAAAUAAAUAUUUCUGGAAAAAAAAAAUGUCAAGAAUAAAUUCUUUGAAUGAUUGUGGUGCAAGAUCAAUGAGAAACAUGUGUUGGAAAUCAAGUCCUUGCCACCACUGUUGCCAAUUCUGUACAAAACUGUCAUAUAUAGUGGCAUUCUAAAAGAUGCUGACAAUCUUCCUUGGAUGGCUGAGUUGUCUCAUUAUUCUACAUAUUUUACACAUGCUAGAAUCUUAAAUAUCAAUCUUGAAGUGAUACUAUGCUCCAUCUUUUAUUAGUAGUCUUACUUCACUUAUUUUCUUAAUGGGCCUCUUUUGGACUUAAGCUUUAUAGAUCUUUUACAGGGUCAUUUAGAGUUAAUCCACUAAGAUUGAUUCAAGGAUUUGACCAUUUGGAUCCAUGACUUUGGGUUUCAGACUUGAUUUUUUUUCUUUUUGCUCUUUUUAUAUCAUUUUGUAGGUUUUUCUUUGAUUUAUUCUUUUCUAGGUUCUUUCCUACAAAAAUACAAAAACAAUAGAAAUUACUCUAAUUCAAGUCCAAAAGUGAGUUCUAACAUCAUACUAAUUAGGGGUAAAAACUAUGUUUUUGGAUACUUAUCAUAUGGCUACAUUAAAGUAAUCUAGAAUGAUGACUGAAGCGAAUGGUGGUCGAAAUUCGCGCCCCCAAUUGCGUGUGAUUGAGGGAUGAACAAAAUUAUCGAUUUUGUGUUGACGAAUCAUAUGCUAGCUAGCACAACAUGUGGAACUCUUAGCAAUGACAUGAAGUUUUCCUUUGCAAAAAUAGUUAUUCGAAAUUGUUAGCUGGGAUCUUGAUCUGAUGUAACCAUAAGGUUGAUUCCUGUAAGUGGUACUUGAGUUCACGAAUCAUUAAAAUCCCUAACUAGUUGUUCAAAAAAUAUUAGCUUGGAUUUUGGUUUGUCGCAAAUCCCUAGAAACAGUAAAUAACUUUUUGAGCAUUAACUUAGAAUCUCAGCUUUGUCAAUUAACGUUAGUUGUUCGAAAAUGAUAGCUUAGAUUCUGAUUUGGUACAAAUCCUUAGAAUCUCGAUCUAACGACUUUUUGAACAUUAACUACUUGAAAAUGUUACAUUGGAUUCUGAUUUGUAACAAAUUAUUAAUCCUUGACAAUAUUCCACUGGAAAAUCGUGAUUUGUUGAAAAAUUCUGAUAAGUCUGGAAAAAUGGCUUUUGGAGAAGGAUAGUCUAACAAUGUUUCUGUCCAGAAAAUACCAGUAGGUAGAGCAGCAGCCGUGCCAACAACUAAGGCAGCAGCAGUGCCAGCAGGUAGGGCAGCAGUCGUGCCAGCAGGUAAGGCAGCAACCGUGCCAGCAGUUAGGGCAGCAAGCAGUGCCAGCCGUUAGGGCAGCGGACUGGGCAACAACCUGGGCAGCAUCAUGGGCAGCAACCAGGUGAUGGGUAAAUCUAUUAUUAAGGGCAAAUAUUUUAUUUUUUUUUAUUUUUUGAGAUUUGGUAGGUGAUGGGUAAAUCUAUUAUUAGAUAUUUUUUAUUUGAUCCGGUAGCUAUAAAAUGUGUAUAAUGGCAAAAAAAAUUAAGGAAAAAUAAAUCAUCGUAGAACAUAACUAUUGGCAAAAUUCGGAACCUAAAUGUAUAUACCUAUGCUAAAAAUAAUGACUUUAUAAAGUAAAUAAGAAUUAAAACAGUUGGGCUCAACUGGUAAAACCUUUAGGUGAUGAUACCAGAGGUCUGGGGUUCGAAUCCCGCCAGCAUUAUCGAGUUACUGAUCUCAUUAAAAACAGGCUUACGAAACCAUUUUUCCAACCAAAAAAAAUAAGAAUUAAAACAUAAACAAACAAAUUAGGUUGUGGACUUGUAGCCCCAUUUUGAAAGUGGCCAUCAGAAGCUAAUCAUCAAAUGACAUGUGUUAGCUGAGUUACAAAUUUUAGCCCACCAGGUCCUAAAAUAUGUUAUAUUUUAUUACAUAAACCAAACUUUAGUGACAUGUGUUAAUUUAUGAUUAGCUCCUCAUGGCCACAUAUAAUAUGGGGUCAUAGAUUAAAUUUUCAGAGACAUAAAAUAUUAAAUUCUUAUUAAAAAGUAAAAUAAAUUAUAAUGUAUACCAACUUUUAGUUUCCUCUUAUAUUUUAGGACAUAAAAUUACGAGUGAUAACCUAAUCUGCACACAGAACAAGCUUAGGAUCACCUUAUUUUUCAUUUGACUACCACAGUAAUUCUAUCUAAAUGGCAAUUUAUAGUCAAGACACUCUUAUUACAGUUUGUGUGUUUACAGGCAUCGCAAAUUAAUUAAACUAUCAAUUUAUAUUAUGAUGACAAAUAUAUAUCAUAUACAAAUCGAGUUCACUACUCCAUCUAUUUAAGAAAAACAUUUUAAUGAAUAACACUAAUUAAGUAAUUUUUGUUCGAGAAUUAUUCAUUCAUCAUGCCAUAUAUGAAUUCAGUACUGGAUUAAAGAGAGGAUUUAUGUUGAAGCAGGUUCGACUCUAGCUUCCUGAAUGAGUAAACCACCCUUCCACCUCUUUCUCCAUACUUCGUACAGCCCAAAAUAAAGGAUAUCACCUGAAUUUGUCUCAGCAGGAGUAACCUGAAGUGGUUCAUCAAGUGAUAUAGAAAUUUUAGAUGGUGGAUUUGUAGGAACACCGAGGACGUGACGCUUCCACUUGUAUUUACCUUUCUUCCCUAUCUUUGCCAUUAUGUGAAUUGGAAUCUCAUUCCAUCCAAAAGCAUCUGGCUGCAAGUUUACAUCAAAACUGACUUUAUACUUUAUUCCAGGUUCCAAUUUUGACAGAGGAAUUUUUGCAGUUACUUCUAGCCAGCAUACUUUUAUCAACACAGCAGGUCCACUAAACCAACAAGUGAGAAAAGAAAAUUAUAUUAUUAAUGCCAUUCACAAAUCAAAAGUUGUAAAUAUCGCAAGUUCAUUUAUCGGGUAAUUUGUAUUCAUUUAAAAUCCCCCACAUUUUCUAAGAACAUUAGGCACUCUAGCAGGCAAAGAUCAAAUGAGUUGCACACUUUCGUCUUGGGGCUCUAACAUAAAAUGUGUACCCACAUUGGGGGUGAUUCAUUUGUGCAUUAUCUGCUACUAGUAUCUCUAUUAAUAACUGUAACCACAUUAGAAAUAGUUCUUAAAUUAUCAAUUUUUCCACACAAAUUAACAUAAGGUUUAUUAACAUAUAUGAACCUAUCAGUCGAAAUGUAAAACUUCUGACAGAUGUUUGCCAAUGUCUAUUUGCAUAAUGCAAUUUGACACAGGACAAUCUAAAAGGAAAUAUCUGAAG
This 7798-nucleotide long non-coding RNA is filed under the name Aquilegia coerulea. Its description in RNAcentral is "long non-coding RNA (ACOE_LNC001621)". Lineage: Eukaryota; Viridiplantae; Streptophyta; Magnoliopsida; Ranunculales; Ranunculaceae. The record is from RNAcentral.